UGGGGAAUUUUGGACAAUGGGCGAAAGCCUGAUCCAGCAAUGCCGCGUGUGUGAAGAAGGCCUUCGGGUUGUAAAGCACUUUUGUCCGGAAAGAAAUCCUUGGCUCUAAUACAGUCGGGGGAUGACGGUACCGGAAGAAUAAGCACCGGCUAACUACGUGCCAGCAGCCGCGGUAAUACGUAGGGUGCAAGCGUUAAUCGGAAUUACUGGGCGUAAAGCGUGCGCAGGCGGUUUGCUAAGACCGAUGUGAAAUCCCCGGGCUCAACCUGGGAACUGCAUUGGUGACUGGCAGGCUAGAGUAUGGCAGAGGGGGGUAGAAUUCCACGUGUAGCAGUGAAAUGCGUAGAGAUGUGGAGGAAUACCGAUGGCGAAGGCAGCCCCCUGGGCCAAAUACUGACGCUCAUGCACGAAAGCGUGGGGAGCAAACAGGAUUAGAUACCCUGGUAGUCCACGCCCUAAACGAUGUCAACUAGUUGUUGGGGAUUCAUUUCCUUAGUAACGUAGCUAACGCGUGAAGUUGACCGCCUGGGGAGUACGGUCGCAAGAUUAAAACUCAAAGGAAUUGACGGGG
This 571-nucleotide ribosomal RNA is filed under the name uncultured bacterium. Its description in RNAcentral is "partial 16S ribosomal RNA". It matches the Rfam family "Bacterial small subunit ribosomal RNA", at positions 355 to 918 of the family's 1533-position model. The record is from RNAcentral.